AAAAAAAAAAUUUGGAUGUAGCAAAGCAAAGCGGAUAUCCGGCAAAUAUCACACAAAAAUCCGGAUAUUCGUAUUUCUGGAUAUUCGGAAAUUUUCGGAUCAAAGCAAAUAAUAAAAUUAAGUAUUCGAUUAAAACGAAUCGAAUAACAAAUAUCCCAAAUUUUCCGGAUAUUCGCUUCGUGCCCAGGCCUAGUGUUCACUACGCAACAUUAAUUAGCCAACAAGUGAGAUUUACGUGAUGUAAAAA
RNAcentral lists this small RNA (247 nucleotides) under Arabidopsis thaliana (thale cress). RNAcentral describes it as "ATSL023170". The record is from RNAcentral. Lineage: Eukaryota; Viridiplantae; Streptophyta; Magnoliopsida; Brassicales; Brassicaceae.